Molecule: ribosomal RNA, 422 nt
Filed under: uncultured prokaryote
Description: bacterial SSU rRNA
Rfam family: Bacterial small subunit ribosomal RNA
Source: RNAcentral
UGAGGAAUAUUGGUCAAUGGGCGUAAGCCUGAACCAGCCAUCCCACGUGAAGGAAGAAGGCGCUAUGCGUCGUAAACUUCUUUUCCAGGGGGAGAAUUUUCCGGUCGUGACCGGAAUUGACGGUACUCUGGGAAUAAGCAUCGGCUAACUCCGUGCCAGCAGCCGCGGUAAUACGGAGGAUGCGAGCGUUAUCCGGAUUUAUUGGGUUUAAAGGGUGCGUAGGCGGAUCAAUAAGUCAGUGGUGAAAUUUUGCAGCUUAACGGUAGACUUGCCAUUGAUACUGUUGGUCGUGAGUAUGGUCAAGGUAGGCGGAAUGUGUAAUGUAGCGGUGAAAUGCUUAGAUAUUACACAGAACACCGAUUGCGAAGGCAGCUUGCUGGGCCAAUACUGACGCUGAUGCACGAAAGCGUGGGGAUCGAACA